CGGCCUUCGGGUUGUAAACCUCUUUCAGUAGGGAAGAAGCGAAAGUGACGGUACCUGCAGAAGAAGCGCCGGCUAACUACGUGCCAGCAGCCGCGGUAAUACGUAGGGCGCAAGCGUUGUCCGGAAUUAUUGGGCGUAAAGAGCUCGUAGGCGGUUUGUCGCGUCUGCUGUGAAAGCCCGGGGCUCAACCCCGGGUCUGCAGUGGGUACGGGCAGACUAGAGUGCAGUAGGGGAGACUGGAAUUCCUGGUGUAGCGGUGAAAUGCGCAGAUAUCAGGAGGAACACCGAUGGCGAAGGCAGGUCUCUGGGCUGUUACUGACGCUGAGGAGCGAAAGCAUGGGGAGCGAACAGGAUUAGAUACCCUGGUAGUCCAUGCCGUAAACGUUGGGCACUAGGUGUGGGGGACAUUCCACGUUCUCCGCGCCGUAGCUAACGCAUUAAGUGCCCCGCCUGGGGAGUACGGCCGCAAGGCUAAAACUCAAAGAAA
This 487-nucleotide ribosomal RNA is filed under the name Kocuria sp. AT06-04. Its description in RNAcentral is "bacterial SSU rRNA". It matches the Rfam family "Bacterial small subunit ribosomal RNA", at positions 412 to 909 of the family's 1533-position model. The record is from RNAcentral. Lineage: Bacteria; Bacillati; Actinomycetota; Actinomycetes; Micrococcales; Micrococcaceae.